Molecule: ribosomal RNA, 432 nt
Filed under: uncultured bacterium
Lineage: Bacteria
Description: partial 16S ribosomal RNA
Rfam family: Bacterial small subunit ribosomal RNA
Source: RNAcentral
AACGAACGCUGGCGGCAUGCCUAACACAUGCAAGUCGAACGAGACCUUCGGGUCUAGUGGCGCACGGGUGCGUAACGCGUGGGAACCUGCCCUUAGGUUCGGAAUAACUCCCCGAAAGGGGUGCUAAUACCGGAUAAUGUCUUCGGACCGAAGAUUUAUCGCCUUUGGAUCGGCCCGCGUUGGAUUAGCUAGUUGGUAGGGUAAAAGCCUACCAAGGCGACGCUCCAUAGCUGGUCUGAGAGGAUGGUCCGCCACACUGGGACUGGGACACGGCCCAGACACCGGCGGGAGGCAGCAGUGGGGAUUAUGGGACAAUGGGCGAAAGCCUGAGCCAGCAAGGCCGCGUGGGUGAUGAAUGCCUAAGGGUAGGAAAGCUCUUUUACCCGGGAUGAUAAGGACAUUACCGGGAGAAUAAGCUCCGGCUAACUCCGU